Molecule: ribosomal RNA, 253 nt
Filed under: uncultured bacterium
Lineage: Bacteria
Description: partial 16S ribosomal RNA
Rfam family: Bacterial small subunit ribosomal RNA
Source: RNAcentral
UACAGAGGGUGCAAGCGUUAAUCGGAAUUACUGGGCGUAAAGCGUGCGUAGACGGUUAUGUAAGUCGGGUGUGAAAGCCCCGGGCUCAACCUGGGAAUGCCAUUCGAGACUGCAUAGCUAGGGUGCGGAAGAGGGAAGCGGAAUUUCCGGUGUAGCGGUGAAAUGCGUAGAUAUCGGAAGGAACACCAGUGGCGAAAGCGGCUUCCUGGUCCAGCAUCGACGUUCAGGCACGAAAGCGUGGGGAGCAAACAGG